CCCUUAGAUGUUCUGGGCCGCACGCGCGCUACACUGAUGCAUUCAACGAGUUCCUACCUUGGCCGAGAGGCCUGGGCAAUCUUUUGAACUUGCAUCGUGAUAGGGAUAGAUUAUUGCAAUUAUUAAUCUUGAACGAGGAAUUCCUAGUAAACGCAGAUCAUCAAUCUGCAUUGAUUACGUCCCUGCCCUUUGUACACACCGCCCGUCGCACCUACCGAUUGAAUGGUCCGGUGAAGCCUCGGGAUUGUGGUUAGUCUCCUUCAUUGGAAGUUAGCCGCGAGAACUUGUCUAAACCUUAUCAUUUAGAGGAAGGUGAAGUCGUAACA
RNAcentral lists this ribosomal RNA (326 nucleotides) under uncultured eukaryote. Its description in RNAcentral is "partial 18S ribosomal RNA". It matches the Rfam family "Eukaryotic small subunit ribosomal RNA", at positions 1470 to 1796 of the family's 1831-position model. The record is from RNAcentral.